AGAGCUUGCUCCGUGAGGAAAGUUCCAACUAGUCCAACAUGUUGUCGUAAUACGUGAAGUUUUGCUUGAGAAUGCUCCGAGCACCUGGCUGUGGAAGAAAGAAUGAAAUUUGUAACAACAAAAUCCUAAUUCUAAUAGAAUACUAACAAUGCUCUAAUUAGACCAUAAUAAUACUAAGCAAGUUUUAAUCAAAUUCAAAAAAACCUCAAAGAAAUUUCAAACAAACAAUAAGAAAUCUUAAAGAAAUAUUAGAAUAAUCACAAAUAUCACUCAAAUACAUCUCAAUUCAAUCUUAAUUUAAUUCUAGUUAAAAUCCAAUUGGACUUCAUUCAAACUUUAGGCCAAAACUAAUUAAAUCUUAAAUCCUACUAAAAUCCUAAAUCCUAAAUCAAAUCCUAAAUCCUAAACCAAAUCCUAAAUCAAACCCUAACCAAACCCUAAACCAAAUCCUAAAUAAAAUCCUAAAUCCUAAAUCAAACCCUAACCAAAUCCUAACUAAAUCCUAAACCCUAAACCAAAUCCUAAAUCAAAUCGUAACCAAAUCCUAAAUCCUAACCAAACCCUAAAUCUUAAACCAAAUCCCAAAUCCUAAAUAAAACCCUAAUCAAAUCCUAAACCCUAAACCAAUCCCUAAUCAAAUCCUAGUAAUUCCUAUAACAGAUUUAAACCUCAAUAACUAAUGAAUAAACCGUCGAUCUUAACUCAAAUUUUGCACACUUCUUAAAAACUAAGUUAAAAACA
Molecule: long non-coding RNA, 741 nt
Filed under: Physcomitrium patens
Lineage: Eukaryota; Viridiplantae; Streptophyta; Bryopsida; Funariales; Funariaceae
Description: long non-coding RNA (PPAT_LNC003522)
Source: RNAcentral